ACUUUGGCUAAGUUUAAAAGCUU
This is a regulatory RNA element of 23 nucleotides. It matches the Rfam family "Pseudoknot of upstream pseudoknot domain (UPD) of the 3'UTR". The record is from Rfam.